AACGUAGGACGCAAGCGUUAUCCGGAGUUACUGGGCGUAAAGCGCGUUCAGGCGGUUCGGCAAGUCGGGCAUGAAAUCUCUCGGCUCAACCGGGAGAGGUUGUCCGAUACUGUUGGACUUGAGGGCAGUAGAGGGUGGUGGAAUUCCGGGUGUAGUGGUGAAAUGCGUAGAUAUCCGGAGGAACACCAGUGGCGAAAGCGGCCACCUGGACUGUACCUGACGCUCAAACGCGAAAGCUAGGGGAGCGAACGGG
RNAcentral lists this ribosomal RNA (253 nucleotides) under uncultured bacterium. RNAcentral describes it as "partial 16S ribosomal RNA". It matches the Rfam family "Bacterial small subunit ribosomal RNA", at positions 524 to 776 of the family's 1533-position model. The record is from RNAcentral.